Molecule: small nuclear RNA, 107 nt
Filed under: Salvator merianae (Argentine black and white tegu)
Lineage: Eukaryota; Metazoa; Chordata; Lepidosauria; Squamata; Teiidae
Source: RNAcentral
AUGCUCGCUUUGGCAGCACAUAUACUAAAAUUGGAAGGAUACAGAGAAGAUUAACAUGGCCCAUGCACAAGGAUGACGUGCACAUUCGUGAAGCGUUCCAUAAUUUU